CGUUAUCCGGAUUUAUUGGGCGUAAAGCGCGUCUAGGUGGUUAUGUAAGUCUGAUGUGAAAAUGCAGGGCUCAACUCUGUAUUGCGUUGGAAACUGUGUAACUAGAGUACUGGAGAGGUAAGCGGAACUMCAAGUGUAGAGGUGAAAUUCGUAGAUAUUUGUAGGAAUGCCGAUGGGGAAGCCAGCUUACUGGACAGAUACUGACGCUGAAGCGCGAAAGCGUGGGUAGCAAGCAGGAUUAGAUACCCUGGUAGUCCGCACAGUAAACGAUGGAUGCCCGCUGUUGGUACCUGGUAUCAGCGGCUAAGCGAAAGCAUUAAGCAUCCCACCUGGGGAGUACGCCGGCAACGGUGAAACUCAAAGGAAUUGACGGGGGCCCGCACAAGCGGAGGAACAUGUGGUUUAAUUCGAUGAUACGCGAGGAACCUUACCCGGGCUUGAAUUGCAGAGGAAGGAUUUAGAGAUAAUGACG
This 472-nucleotide ribosomal RNA is filed under the name uncultured bacterium. RNAcentral's name for it is "bacterial SSU rRNA". It matches the Rfam family "Bacterial small subunit ribosomal RNA", at positions 539 to 1014 of the family's 1533-position model. The record is from RNAcentral.